Molecule: long non-coding RNA, 1266 nt
Filed under: Solanum tuberosum (potato)
Lineage: Eukaryota; Viridiplantae; Streptophyta; Magnoliopsida; Solanales; Solanaceae
Description: long non-coding RNA (STUB_LNC011738)
Source: RNAcentral
AACAUCUUCAUUUCAUGGCAGUCACGAAUUCUCAAUUCUCUGAGAAAUGGAAAUUCAGUAACAUGCUUUGUCAAAAAGAAAUGCCUCAGCUUACGCAGUUCUUUAAGCUCCAACUUUUCCAACAGGGGAAAUAAGGUCAUGAUUUCUUCUCCUUGUUGUUCCUCUUCUGUGAUCACUUCUUCUAUCGACACACAAUUGUCUAUUAAUAUUCUUCGUAGAUUCAGUGCACCCCGAGCCACUGAUGGAGACAUCAAGUUUCUCAAGUUUCCACAAUCCGAUACAUACAAUGUUUCAAGUUUGUUGAAGUAGGCAGUUGGAAGUUGGUGAGAGCAUAGAGCACUUAUGCUUUUAAGUUUCCUGAUGAUUAGCUCUUUCAAGUUAGGACAAGAAACCUGCAAACGUUGAAGUAUGAUAAAGCAAUUCAGAAUUUGAAAUUUAUAGAUAUCUCUAAUGAUCUCAGGUUAAUAUCCAAUAACAAUCGCGUUCACAAUCAAGGAAUCUCUAGAUAUUACUAAUACAGAUUAAAGUCUCUAGGAAAAAGCUAUUAGAUUCACGUGAACCCUUGAGUUACAAUAUUGUAGCUUCGCUUAUAUUUCUUACCUCCGUUUACAUAGAUAUCAGGUGGCAAACAGAAAUAACUAUAUGAAAAUAUUACUAUUACUAUUAUUAUUUGCUAGUUAAAAUGGAAAGAUAGCAACACACCAGGGGUGUAUUAAUGUAUGACACAAAUAUAUAUAGUAUUUAGUUAUAAAGCUAACGGCACAAGACAAACCUUAGAAUUGAACAUUGCUUUAUUGAGAUCAACUACUUUCACCUCAUCAGCAUUGUUCACACUUUCGAGACUCAGCGUACUCACAGAUAUUCCCUGUUGGACAAACAUCUUCAUUUCAUGGCAGUCAUGAAUUCUCAAUUCUCUGAGAAAUGGAAAUUCAGUAACACGCUUUGUCAAAAAGAAAUGCCUCAGCUUACGCAGUUCUUUAAGCUCCAACUUUUCCAAUAGGGGAAAUAAGGUCAUGAUUUCUUCUCCUUGUUGUUCCUCUUCUGUGAUCACUUCUUCCAUUGACACACAAUUGUGUAUUAAUAUUCUUCGUAGAUUCAGUGCACCCCGAGCCACUGAUGUUGACAUCAAGUUUCUCAAGUUUCCACAACUCGAUACAUACAAUAUUUCAAGUUUGCUGAAGUAGGCAGUUGGAAGUUGGUGAGAGCAUAGAGCAGUUAUGCUUUUAAGUGUCCAGAUGGUUAGAUCUUUCAAGUUGGGACAAGAAA